UGGGUACAAAACUUUGCACCGUUCUGCAUUAUCCUUUGGGAUCUGAUUAUUAAUUCCUAUUUUCGUGCCAGUGAGUCUUAUGCCCAGGCUUUUAACCAUUAUUUAUCUUUAAAGAAUGCAAAUUUUGCAACGAUUGUGCACUCGUAUCACUGUCCUCUCUGUCCGAAAUGGUGUACACGUUUGAUUUUGUCCACAAUAUCGCCUGGGAUCUGAAACGCUUUAAGAAGUCAUUUUUUCACCACACUUUCAGGAUUUUCACCCUCAUUUUCUUUAAUACCAGCAGGACAAGCGAGGCUUAGGGGACACUCUGAGGAUCAAAGAGAGAAUGCCUGAUUAGUGUCACUGAAUGGUAUUUAAUGAUGCUGUUCCUCGCUUUAUUUAUUGCCCAAGGGUCCCAAUAUCGACAGUGUGAUGACCGGGGCAGGAUACCUAAGGGACCGACCAGGACGGACCCUGACAUGCUUCAUAGACCAACCAGCUGUGGGAUGCAGGGAGCUGUAUAGGGCCGUGAGCAAACAAGAAAAUGCACAUUCAGAGGCGGCGCUCCUAGUGACAGGUGAUUUUUAUGCACGGUUCCAAAUAAAUGACAUUGUUACAUGCUCCUCCCACCAUGUUAUCUACAUAAUUAAAUGUCCAUGUGGGUUGUGUUAUGUAGGUAAAACCUCAUGUUCUCUCAAACAAAGAAUUUGUGAACAUAACAAUUCAAUCAGAAGAAACGACAGGGAUUAUUCAGUCACAGUACCAUUUUAAUGACCAAAAACAUUACAUUUCUAUCUUUAGAUUUUGUGGCAUAGAGAAGGUCAAGAUAUCAGACAGGGGAGGUGAUAUAAAUAAAAAUCUGAGCAAAAAAUAAUGUUUUUGGAUUAUUAUUAUUCCCAAAAGGUCUUAGUGAUGAAAUGCCCAUGCAGGUUAUGUUGUAAAUGUGAACAUGAACUAAUGCCUUGUCGUUAACCACCAGUUUUUUCUUACAGUGUACCUAAUGAUUUAUGAAAACAUACUUGAUAGGUCGAUGUCCUCAUUGUGGUUUUACACA
Coregonus clupeaformis (lake whitefish) is the source of this 1033-nucleotide long non-coding RNA. RefSeq lists it as uncharacterized. The record is from RefSeq and is a predicted model, not a curated record. Lineage: Eukaryota; Metazoa; Chordata; Actinopteri; Salmoniformes; Salmonidae. The transcript has 3 exons.